Molecule: long non-coding RNA, 304 nt
Filed under: Hordeum vulgare
Lineage: Eukaryota; Viridiplantae; Streptophyta; Magnoliopsida; Poales; Poaceae
Description: long non-coding RNA (HVUL_LNC010655)
Source: RNAcentral
GUAGCCAUGCAUCGGAGGGCGUGGCGGAGGCGCUCCAGGAGUAAAGUUAGCCAAUGGACCACCAGAAGGAGGUGGAGGUGGUAUUGAACGUGGAGGACCAUUUGCAAGCGGAGGUGGAGGGGGUGGAGGUUGAAGACCGCUCAUUGGUGGUGGCGGGAUCCUAGGGGGCAUUCCCAUAGGUGCAUUCGGUGGAGGUGGUGGCAGAGCCUGUGGAUGGGACGGUGGCCUUGGUGGAGCACCAGGAGGGCCUCCUGUUCCAUUUGGAACAGUCCCAGGAGCUGCUGGUUGUCUAUUGAUCUCCGGC